AAUCUAGAAAGGAUUUAUCAGUUUUAAAUUAACUGAAGAAGAAUUUACUUAGAUUAUAUUGUCCCUAAGGUCCACUUCUUGGAGAAUUUCAACAGAGUAUCACAACUUAAUAUUGCUAAAUCGCUACUGAGAUCUGAUUUUGAUCCAUUUAUAAAAUUAUCUAUUUCUUGUCAGGCACACACCAACUAUGGUCAUAAUUCGUGAAUCACAUGUUGAAAAGAUGGGCAAAAUUCAAGAUGUUGCAUAUGAGAUUUUGAAUGUUAUAGAAUUUAAAAGGAAGCACCAGUCUGUGGUGUGUUGAUACCCAAAUGGAAGACUUGUUCUUUAUUGUAAGGGUGCUGAUACUGUGAUAUAUGAAAGAUUGGGUGAUGGAAAUCAUGAUACGAAAAGAUUGACCAAGAAGCAUUUAGAACAAUUUGGAUCUGCUGGCUUACGUACACUAUGUUUGGCCUACCGAGAACUAAGCACUGAGUUAUAUGAAAAAUGGAAUGAGAAAUUUAUUCAAGCCAAAUCUUCUUUACGGGAUCGUGAGAAAAAACUUGAUGAGGUAUGUCAGCUAACUAUUUUCCACAGUGCAGAUGUUUCUGCCUAUUAUUUGAAAUUAAAUUAUAUGCUUAGUAA
This is a non-coding RNA of Elaeis guineensis (African oil palm), 621 nucleotides long. Lineage: Eukaryota; Viridiplantae; Streptophyta; Magnoliopsida; Arecales; Arecaceae. The record is from RefSeq and is a predicted model, not a curated record.